GUCAAGGCAUCAUGAAGAGGCUAGUGGGCACUGUGCUGGGGCUUUUGUUUGCCCGGGUUUGCUGUGUGAGAGGGGUGGACGUGGCGCAGAGUCCCCCAGCCCUGACUCCACAGGAGGGAGCCACCUCUACACUGUGGUGUAAUUUCUCCACCUUGGCAGAGAGUGUGCAGUGGUACCUUCAGAGCCCUGGGGGCCACCUCAUCCACCUCAUUUACAUUCCUUCAGGGACAAAGCAGGAAGGAAGAUUAAAGGCCACGACAGUCCGCAAAGAACGCCGCAGCUCACUGCACAUUUCCUCUCCGCGGACCACAGACUCGGGCCCUUACUUCUGUGGUGCUCAGCACGGUGCUCCCCAGGCACCUGCCGCCUCGACACGAACCCUCCCGGGGCUCAGCCCCUCCUCCAGCCUCAGUCACACCGUGGGCCCCAUGGGGCAUUUGCAGUGCUUCUUACUGGCCUUCCAGAUGUGA
Molecule: non-coding RNA, 470 nt
Organism: Cervus elaphus (red deer)
Lineage: Eukaryota; Metazoa; Chordata; Mammalia; Artiodactyla; Cervidae
Source: the annotation of a RefSeq genome assembly